UUAGGGGACAUGUUUACUUGU
Molecule: non-coding RNA, 21 nt
Filed under: Arabidopsis thaliana (thale cress)
Lineage: Eukaryota; Viridiplantae; Streptophyta; Magnoliopsida; Brassicales; Brassicaceae
Source: RNAcentral